GGAGUGGGGCUAAUACAUGCAAGUCGAGCGAAUGGAUUAAGAGCUUGCUCUUAUGAAGUUAGCGGCGGACGGGUGAGUAACACGUGGGUAACCUGCCCAUAAGACUGGGAUAACUCCGGGAAACCGGGGCUAAUACCGGAUAACAUUUUGAACCGCAUGGUUCGAAAUUGAAAGGCGGCUUCGGCUGUCACUUAUGGAUGGACCCGCGUCGCAUUAGCUAGUUGGUGAGGUAACGGCUCACCAAGGCAACGAUGCGUAGCCGACCUGAGAGGGUGAUCGGCCACACUGGGACUGAGACACGGCCCAGACUCCUACGGGAGGCAGCAGUAGGGAAUCUUCCGCAAUGGACGAAAGUCUGACGGAGCAACGCCGCGUGAGUGAUGAAGGCUUUCGGGUCGUAAAACUCUGUUGUUAGGGAAGAACAAGUGCUAGUUGAAUAAGCUGGCACCUUGACGGUACCUAACCAGAAAGCCACGGCUAACUACGUGCCAGCAGCCGCGGUAAUACGUAGGUGGCAAGCGUUAUCCGGAAUUAUUGGGCGUAAAGCGCGCGCAGGUGGUUUCUUAAGUCUGAUGUGAAAGCCCACGGCUCAACCGUGGAGGGUCAUUGGAAACUGGGAGACUUGAGUGCAGAAGAGGAAAGUGGAAUUCCAUGUGUAGCGGUGAAAUGCGUAGAGAUAUGGAGGAACACCAGUGGCGAAGGCGACUUUCUGGUCUGUAACUGACACUGAGGCGCGAAAGUCUGCCCUC
RNAcentral lists this ribosomal RNA (749 nucleotides) under Bacillus cereus. RNAcentral describes it as "bacterial SSU rRNA". It matches the Rfam family "Bacterial small subunit ribosomal RNA", at positions 39 to 768 of the family's 1533-position model. Lineage: Bacteria; Bacillati; Bacillota; Bacilli; Caryophanales; Bacillaceae. The record is from RNAcentral.